This 1292-nucleotide ribosomal RNA is filed under the name Escherichia coli. Its description in RNAcentral is "partial 23S ribosomal RNA". It matches the Rfam family "Bacterial large subunit ribosomal RNA", at positions 1088 to 2364 of the family's 2925-position model. Lineage: Bacteria; Pseudomonadati; Pseudomonadota; Gammaproteobacteria; Enterobacterales; Enterobacteriaceae. The record is from RNAcentral.
GACAGCCAGGAUGUUGGCUUAGAAGCAGCCAUCAUUUAAAGAAAGCGUAAUAGCUCACUGGUCGAGUCGGCCUGCGCGGAAGAUGUAACGGGGCUAAACCAUGCACCGAAGCUGCGGCAGCGACGCUUAUGCGUUGUUGGGUAGGGGAGCGUUCUGUAAGCCUGCGAAGGUGUGCUGUGAGGCAUGCUGGAGGUAUCAGAAGUGCGAAUGCUGACAUAAGUAACGAUAAAGCGGGUGAAAAGCCCGCUCGCCGGAAGACCAAGGGUUCCUGUCCAACGUUAAUCGGGGCAGGGUGAGUCGACCCCUAAGGCGAGGCCGAAAGGCGUAGUCGAUGGGAAACAGGUUAAUAUUCCUGUACUUGGUGUUACUGCGAAGGGGGGACGGAGAAGGCUAUGUUGGCCGGGCGACGGUUGUCCCGGUUUAAGCGUGUAGGCUGGUUUUCCAGGCAAAUCCGGAAAAUCAAGGCUGAGGCGUGAUGACGAGGCACUACGGUGCUGAAGCAACAAAUGCCCUGCUUCCAGGAAAAGCCUCUAAGCAUCAGGUAACAUCAAAUCGUACCCCAAACCGACACAGGUGGUCAGGUAGAGAAUACCAAGGCGCUUGAGAGAACUCGGGUGAAGGAACUAGGCAAAAUGGUGCCGUAACUUCGGGAGAAGGCACGCUGAUAUGUAGGUGAAGUCCCUCGCGGAUGGAGCUGAAAUCAGUCGAAGAUACCAGCUGGCUGCAACUGUUUAUUAAAAACACAGCACUGUGCAAACACGAAAGUGGACGUAUACGGUGUGACGCCUGCCCGGUGCCGGAAGGUUAAUUGAUGGGGUCAGCGCAAGCGAAGCUCUUGAUCGAAGCCCCGGUAAACGGCGGCCGUAACUAUAACGGUCCUAAGGUAGCGAAAUUCCUUGUCGGGUAAGUUCCGACCUGCACGAAUGGCGUAAUGAUGGCCAGGCUGUCUCCACCCGAGACUCAGUGAAAUUGAACUCGCUGUGAAGAUGCAGUGUACCCGCGGCAAGACGGAAAGACCCCGUGAACCUUUACUAUAGCUUGACACUGAACAUUGAGCCUUGAUGUGUAGGAUAGGUGGGAGGCUUUGAAGUGUGGACGCCAGUCUGCAUGGAGCCGACCUUGAAAUACCACCCUUUAAUGUUUGAUGUUCUAACGUUGACCCGUAAUCCGGGUUGCGGACAGUGUCUGGUGGGUAGUUUGACUGGGGCGGUCUCCUCCUAAAGAGUAACGGAGGAGCACGAAGGUUGGCUAAUCCUGGUCGGACAUCAGGAGGUUAGUGCAAUGGCAUAAGC